RNAcentral lists this ribosomal RNA (426 nucleotides) under uncultured bacterium. RNAcentral's name for it is "bacterial SSU rRNA". It matches the Rfam family "Bacterial small subunit ribosomal RNA", at positions 356 to 773 of the family's 1533-position model. The record is from RNAcentral.
GGGGAAUAUUGCACAAUGGACGAAAGUCUGACGGAGCAAGGCCGCGUGAGUGAAGAAGGCCUUCGGGUCGUAAAACUCUGUUGCCGGGGAAGAACAAGUGCCGUUCGAACAGGGCGGCGCCUUGACGGUACCCGGCCAGAAAGCCACGGCUAACUACGUGCCAGCAGCCGCGGUAAUACGUAGGUGGCAAGCGUUGUCCGGAAUUAUUGGGCGUAAAGCGCGCGCAGGCGGCUUCUUAAGUCUGAUGUGAAAUCUUGCGGCUCAACCGCAAGCGGUCAUUGGAAACUGGGAGGCUUGAGUGCAGAAGAGGAGAGUGGAAUUCCACGUGUAGCGGUGAAAUGCGUAGAGAUGUGGAGGAACACCAGUGGCGAAGGCGGCUCUCUGGUCUGUAACUGACGCUGAGGCGCGAAAGCGUGGGUAGCAAAC